Molecule: ribosomal RNA, 1252 nt
Filed under: metagenome
Description: bacterial SSU rRNA
Rfam family: Bacterial small subunit ribosomal RNA
Source: RNAcentral
UAGUUGGUGAGGUAAAGGCUCACCAAGGCGACGAUCUGUAGCGGGUCUGAGAGGAUGAUCCGCCACACUGGAACUGAGACACGGUCCAGACUCCUACGGGAGGCAGCAGUGGGGAAUUUUGGACAAUGGGGGCAACCCUGAUCCAGCCAUGCCGCGUGAGUGAAGAAGGCCUUCGGGUUGUAAAGCUCUUUCAGCCGGGAAGAAAUCACAUGGGUUAAUACCCUGUGUGGAUGACGGUACCGGAAUAAGAAGCACCGGCUAACUACGUGCCAGCAGCCGCGGUAAUACGUAGGGUGCGAGCGUUAAUCGGAAUUACUGGGCGUAAAGCGUGCGCAGGCGGUUUGUUAAGAUAGGCGUGAAAUCCCCGGGCUCAACCUGGGAACUGCGAUUAUGACUGGCAGGCUAGAGUAUGGCAGAGGGGGGUGGAAUUCCACGUGUAGCAGUGAAAUGCGUAGAGAUGUGGAGGAACACCGGUGGCGAAGGCAGCCCCCUGGGCCAAUACUGACGCUCAUGCACGAAAGCGUGGGUAGCAAACAGGAUUAGAUACCCUGGUAGUCCACGCCCUAAACGAUGUCAACUAGGUGUUGGGUGGGUAAAACCAUUUAGUACCGGAGCUAACGCGUGAAGUUGACCGCCUGGGGAGUACGGCCGCAAGGUUAAAACUCAAAGGAAUUGACGGGGACCCGCACAAGCGGUGGAUGAUGUGGAUUAAUUCGAUGCAACGCGAAAAACCUUACCUACCCUUGACAUGUCCAGAAGCUCUUAGAGAUUUGAGUGUGCCCGAAAGGGAACUGGAACACAGGUGCUGCAUGGCUGUCGUCAGCUCGUGUCGUGAGAUGUUGGGUUAAGUCCCGCAACGAGCGCAACCCUUGUCGUUAAUUGCCAUCAUUUAGUUGGGCACUUUAACGAGACUGCCGGUGACAAACCGGAGGAAGGUGGGGAUGACGUCAAGUCCUCAUGGCCCUUAUGGGUAGGGCUUCACACGUCAUACAAUGGUCGGUACAAAGGGUUGCCAACCCGCGAGGGGGAGCUAAUCCCAGAAAGCCGAUCGUAGUCCGGAUCGUAGGCUGCAACUCGCCUGCGUGAAGUCGGAAUCGCUAGUAAUCGUGGAUCAGCAUGUCACGGUGAAUACGUUCCCGGGUCUUGUACACACCGCCCGUCACACCAUGGGAGCGGGUUCCGCCAGAAGUAGGUAGCCUAACCGCAAGGAGGGCGCUUACCACGGCGGGGUUCGUGACUGGGGUGAAGUCGG